UACGGGGGGGGCAAGCGUUGUUCGGAAUUACUGGGCGUAAAGGGCGUGUAGGCGGUUGGUCAAGUCCGAUGUGAAAGCCCGGGGCUCAGCUUCGGAAGUGCAUCGGAAACUAGCCAGCUGGAGCGCGAUAGAGGAGGGCGGAAUUCCUGGUGUAGCGGUGAAAUGCGUAGAUAUCAGGAGGAACACCGGCGGCGAAGGCGGCCCUCUGGAUCGUUGCUGACGCUGAGACGCGAAAGCGUGGGGAGCAAACAGG
RNAcentral lists this ribosomal RNA (253 nucleotides) under uncultured bacterium. RNAcentral describes it as "partial 16S ribosomal RNA". It matches the Rfam family "Bacterial small subunit ribosomal RNA", at positions 524 to 776 of the family's 1533-position model. The record is from RNAcentral.